UACGUAGGGUGCGAGCGUUGUCCGGAAUUACUGGGCGUAAAGAGCUCGUAGGUGGUUUGUCGCGUUGUUCGUGAAAACUCACAGCUUAACUGUGGGCGUGCGGGCGAUACGGGCAGACUGGAGUACUGCAGGGGAGACUGGAAUUCCUGGUGUAGCGGUGGAAUGCGCAGAUAUCAGGAGGAACACCGGUGGCGAAGGCGGGUCUCUGGGACGGUACUGACGCUGAGACGCGAAAGCCAGGGGAGCAAACGGG
RNAcentral lists this ribosomal RNA (253 nucleotides) under uncultured bacterium. RNAcentral describes it as "partial 16S ribosomal RNA". It matches the Rfam family "Bacterial small subunit ribosomal RNA", at positions 524 to 776 of the family's 1533-position model. The record is from RNAcentral.